AAAUUCAAGUGCAAUCGUUAAUGUAAGAGGCCUAUUUUGCCCGGCCCAUUAGAAACUCAAAGAACAAAACAAAAAAAAAAUCCAAUAUUAAACCUAACCAAAAUCUAACCCAGAUACAAGACCAAAAAAAAUUUAAAUCAUAACAGCCCAGUUUACAGUCCAAUUACAAAAACUUGUGGCCCAUCUGCAAGAACAGGCCCGAAAAGCCCAAAAUAUCAAGGUUUCAGAAACCCUAGGGCUCUCUCCCACUUUCCGCCGCAGCCGAGCCCCCCGGCGCCUCCAUAUGCUCCAGCGUUUCAGCAACCACGCGCGCCUCCGUAUGCCAGCACAGUCCCCGUACGCCAACGCACACUCCGUACCUGCGAGUAAAUACAAAACCACACAACAGCAAAUACGAAAAGAAAAAUUUGUAUUUUUAUUUGGAUUUUUCUUAUUCUGUUUCGGCUAUAAAGCCAAGAACACGACCAUUGUAAUUUUUUUGACACGCAUAUUACGCGCUACACAAACUCAAUACAAAGAAAAAUCAAAACUUUGAAAGGUGAUUUUCCAGGGCUUCAUUUAUCUCCUUUUUGAAUCUGUUCUUUUCUUCCUAGUUUUGUGUAUAUACUCUUUAGCAUAAGAAAAUAAAACGAAAAGAAGGGUUUACCUUGCGAGCUAGCCAUCGUUUCCCUUUCACUUCUUUGAAAUCGAAGUCUGAACGGGGUCUCAAGGCCGAGAACCACUCCUUUGGAGUCCGAGUGCAUUGAUCACCGUUCGUGGUGGCGCAUUAGCGCCAAGGGGAGCAUUUGGGGCUUGACUGGGCAACAAAAGGGGGAGGCUAGGGCAUUGCUAGGGUUCAGUUGAAUGAAGGCACAUUUAUCCUUAUAAGGAAGCAAAAACGGCGCCGUUUAAACCAGAUGCAAUGGUUUAAAAACGACGUCGUUUGGAAACCAUGCCCGAUGACCCGACC
This 949-nucleotide long non-coding RNA is filed under the name Gossypium barbadense (sea-island cotton). RNAcentral's name for it is "long non-coding RNA (GBAR_LNC011683)". The record is from RNAcentral. Lineage: Eukaryota; Viridiplantae; Streptophyta; Magnoliopsida; Malvales; Malvaceae.